AGUGAACGCUGGCGGUAGGCCUAACACAUGCAAGUCGAACGGCAGCACAGUAAGAGCUUGCUCUUACGGGUGGCGAGUGGCGGACGGGUGAGGAAUACAUCGGAAUCUACUUUUUCGUGGGGGAUAACGUAGGGAAACUUACGCUAAUACCGCAUACGACCUACGGGUGAAAGCAGUGGAUCUUCGGACCUUGCGCGAUUCAAUGAGCCGAUGUCGGAUUAGCUAGUUGGCGGGGUAAAGGCCCACCAAGGCGACGAUCCGUAGCUGGUCUGAGAGGAUGAUCAGCCACACUGGAACUGAGACACGGUCCAGACUCCUACGGGAGGCAGCAGUGGGGAAUAUUGGACAAUGGGCGCAAGCCUGAUCCAGCCAUACCGCGUGGGUGAAGAAGGCCUUCGGGUUGUAAAGCCCUUUUGUUGGGAAAGAAAAGCAGCAGGUUAAUACCCCGCUGUUCUGACGGUACCCAAAGAAUAAGCACCGGCUAACUUCGUG
RNAcentral lists this ribosomal RNA (492 nucleotides) under uncultured bacterium. RNAcentral describes it as "partial 16S ribosomal RNA". It matches the Rfam family "Bacterial small subunit ribosomal RNA", at positions 29 to 507 of the family's 1533-position model. The record is from RNAcentral.